This 92-nucleotide transfer RNA is filed under the name Pseudoduganella dura. RNAcentral describes it as "tRNA-Cys". The record is from RNAcentral. Lineage: Bacteria; Pseudomonadati; Pseudomonadota; Betaproteobacteria; Burkholderiales; Oxalobacteraceae.
CCUGCACCGGUGCGGAUUGCUCGCCCGGUUGCAGCUCGGCCACCGCCGGUUGCGCAUCGGCCACCGCCGGUGCCGCCUCGGCCUUCAGGGCC